Molecule: ribosomal RNA, 578 nt
Filed under: uncultured Gammaproteobacteria bacterium
Lineage: Bacteria; Pseudomonadati; Pseudomonadota; Gammaproteobacteria
Description: bacterial SSU rRNA
Rfam family: Bacterial small subunit ribosomal RNA
Source: RNAcentral
UGCAAGUCGAACGUGAAAGCACUUCGGUGUGAGUAGAGUGGCGGACGGGUGAGUAACGCGUGGGAAUCUGCCCAGUAGUGGGGGACAACUACCGGAAACGGUAGCUAAUACCGCAUACGCCCUAUGGGGGAAAGGCUUCGGCCGCUAUUGGAUGAGCCCGCGUCAGAUUAGCUAGUUGGUAGGGUAAAGGCCUACCAAGGCAACGAUCUGUAGCUGGUCUGAGAGGACGAACAGCCACACUGGGACUGAGACACGGCCCAGACUCCUACGGGAGGCAGCAGUGGGGAAUAUUGGACAAUGGGCGAAAGCCUGAUCCAGCAAUGCCGCGUGUGUGAAGAAGGCCUGCGGGUUGUAAAGCACUUUCAGUUGGGAAGAUGAUGACGUUACCAACAGAAGAAGCACCGGCUAAAUCCGUGCCAGCAGCCGCGGUAAUACGGAUGGUGCGAGCGUUAAUCGGAAUUACUGGGCGUAAAGCGCGCGUAGGCGGCUAAGUCAGUCAGAAGUGAAAGCCCCGGGCUCAACCUGGGAAUUGCUUUUGAUACUGCUUGGCUAGAGUUUGGUAGAGGAUAGUGGAAUUC